This is a long non-coding RNA of Xenopus laevis (African clawed frog), 1163 nucleotides long. RefSeq lists it as uncharacterized. The transcript has 3 exons. The record is from RefSeq and is a predicted model, not a curated record. Lineage: Eukaryota; Metazoa; Chordata; Amphibia; Anura; Pipidae.
UUUGCUAAUUAACCCAUAAGCUAAUAAAAUGUAUUUUUAUUUUCAGAUGUUGCUGUAAAGCUCCUGAACUAUAAAUUCAUCAAGCUGUACCGACCCAAAGUCACAGGUGUCUACAAUAGACUCAUAUUAUGCCUUGGACUCCUAUCCUGUGCCGGCUUUCUCCUGGCUGGUUAUGUUAGGGGGAAGGAUUCAGAAACUGGUCACCUUACAGGAGCAUUUGUAGGAUUUGGCACGGGAUGCGUAUACAACAUCGUACAAUGUAUACUGUACGCCAUACUCCAGCCCAGCGGAAAAAGCCGAAGGAUGGUUUACUACCGGCUCUUUGCUUGUGUGAUCACUGUUAUCCCAAUGAUAGCACUUACAACAUCACUGACGACUUGUAGCAUACAGACGAGCUGCAAUCCACACUAUUUGGUAUGUUAUUUUACAUUUACAUUUUAUGUAAAACUUGUGUAUUAUAACAAAUAAUGUCUCCCUAUUGUACUGAGGUUGAUAAGGAGCCACCUUGGGUUCCAUGAUAUGUAUAAAGCACUUGGCAGCAGCCUGAUCCCUUAUAUGGUUAUAGAACUCCUACUGUCCUAGGAAAAGAAAAAAUGUCCCAUCACAGACCUGUUAUUGCUCGAUCUUGUAUGGCUGAACGCCACUUGUGCCAUAAAUAAAAACCCAUAUACGUCCCAACCCUUAAUAAUUAUUCUAAUAAAAUAAGUUUUUGUUUUUUUCCUUUUUUAAUAGAGAACGGCACUUGCAACAUUGGAGUGGGCAGGAAUGUUUGGGCUUCUCCUCUAUAUCCCAACAUAUUCCAUGGAAUUUCAGGUCAGUAAAAUAACUCAGAUAUUUCUGUGCUAUAUAUAUAUAUAUAAAUAUAUAAAUGUAUAGGGCUCAUCAUUACUUUUUACUUCUAUUCAGAACCUGACUCUAAAAUGGCCCAUAAGCCUAAAAGGCGACUGGAUAUGCAAGAGGGAAGGAUCCACUGAUGUAGAGUCCCCUGAGGAACCAACAACUGUCACCUGCAGGCACAUGAUAACACUGUUACCCUCUGAUCAGCUAUUAGGCUCAGUGAUACCUAUUCAUAUACAGGGAGCUUACAGGGAUUGGAUGUUCAAAUGAGAAGCCCAGUCCCCCGAGGAUCCACAAAAACACCUGAAAGAGUGAAAAACAAAAUC